This 497-nucleotide ribosomal RNA is filed under the name uncultured bacterium. RNAcentral describes it as "partial 16S ribosomal RNA". It matches the Rfam family "Bacterial small subunit ribosomal RNA", at positions 28 to 507 of the family's 1533-position model. The record is from RNAcentral.
GAUGAACGCUGGCGGUGUGCCUAAUACAUGCAAGUCGAGCGAACAGACGAGGAGCUUGCUCCUCAGACGUUAGCGGCGGACGGGUGAGUAACACGUGGAUAACCUACCUAUAAGACUGGGAUAACUUCGGGAAACCGGAGCUAAUACCGGAUAACAUGUUGGACCGCAUGGAUCAACAGUGAAAGACGGUCUUGCUGUCACGUAUAGAUGGAUCCGCGUCGCAUUAGCUAGUUGGUAAGGUAACGGCUUACCAAGGCAACGAUGCGUAGCCGACCUGAGAGGGUGAUCGGCACCACUGGAACUGGGCCACGGUCCAGCCCCCUCGGGGAGGAAGCAGUAGGGAAUCUUCCGCAAUGGGCGAAAGCCUGCCGGAGAAACGCCGCGUGAGUGAAGAAGGUCUUCGGUUCGUAAAACUCUGUUAUUAGGGAGGAACAAAUGUGUAAGUAACUAUGCCCGUAUUGACGGUACCUCAACAGAAAGCCCCGGCUAACUACGUG